Molecule: unclassified non-coding RNA, 329 nt
Filed under: soil metagenome
Description: partial contains 5.8S ribosomal RNA, internal transcribed spacer 2, and large subunit ribosomal RNA
Rfam family: 5.8S ribosomal RNA (bases 1-120)
Source: RNAcentral
GAUGAAGAACGCAGCGAAAUGCGAUAAGUAAUGUGAAUUGCAGAAUUCAGUGAAUCAUCGAAUCUCUGAACGCACAUUGCGCCCCUUGGUAUUCCGAGGGGCAUGCCUGUUCGAGCGUCAUUAUAACCCCUCAAGCUCAGCUUGGUGUUGGGGCCUGCUGCACUGGCAGCCCUUAAAAUCAGUGGCGGCGCCAUCUGGCUCUAAGCGUAGUAAUUCUUCUCGCUAUGGAGUCCUGGUGGAUGCUUGCCAUCAACCCCCAAUUUUUCUAUGGUUGACCUCGGAUCAGGUAGGGAUACCCGCUGAACUUAAGCAUAUCAAUAAGCGGAGGA